CUGCGAACGGCUCAUUACACAAGUUAUCGUUUAUUUGAUAGCACCUCGUUACUUGGGUAACCGUGGUAAUUCUAGAGCUAAUACAUGCUGAAAAUCCCGACUCCGGAAGGGAUGUAUUUAUUAGAUCCAGAACCGAUGCCCCCCGGGCUCACUGGUGAUUCAUGAUAACUGUUCGAAUCGCAUGGCCUCGCGCCGGCGAUGGCUCAUUCAAAUUUCUUCCCUAUCAACUUUCGAUGUUCGGGUAGUGGCCAAACAUGGUUGCAACGGGUAACGGAGGGUUAGGGCUCGACCCCGGAGAAGGAGCCUGAGAAACGGCUACUACAUCCAAGGAAGGCAGCAGGCGCGCAAAUUACCCAAUCCCGACACGGGGAGGUAGUGACAAUAAAUACUGAUACAGGGCUCUUUUGGGUCUUGUAAUUGGAAUGAGUACAAUUUAAAUCCCUUAACGAGGAACAAUUGGAGGGCAAGUCUGGUGCCAGCAGCCGCGGUAAUUCCAGCUCCAAUAGCGUAUAUUAAAGUUGUUGUGGUUAAAAAGCUCGUAGUUGAACCUUGGGCCUGGCUGGCCGGUCCGCCUCACCGCGUGCACUGGCCCGGCCGGGCCUUUCCCUCUGCGGAACCCCAUGCCCUUCGCUGGGCGUGGCGGGGAAACAGGACGUUUACUUUGAAAAAAUUAGAGUGCUCCAGGCAGGCCUAUGCUCGAAUACAUUAGCAUGGAAUAAUGGAAUAGGACGCGCGGUCUUAUUUUGUUGGUUUCUAGGACCGCCGUAAUGAUUAAUAGGGACAGUCGGGGGCAUCAGUAUUCAGUUGUCAGAGGUGAAAUUCUUGGAUCUACUGAAGACUAACUACUGCGAAAGCAUUUGCCAAGGAUGUUUUCAUUAAUCAGGAACGAAAGUUAGGGGAUCGAAGACGAUCAGAUACCGUCGUAGUCUUAACCAUAAACUAUGCCGACUAGGGAUCGGGCGAUGUUAUUUCUUGACUCGCUCGGCACCUUACGAGAAAUCAAAGUGCUUGGGCUCCAGGGGG
This 1023-nucleotide ribosomal RNA is filed under the name Ophiocordyceps kobayasii. RNAcentral describes it as "SSU rRNA". It matches the Rfam family "Eukaryotic small subunit ribosomal RNA", at positions 87 to 1121 of the family's 1831-position model. The record is from RNAcentral. Lineage: Eukaryota; Fungi; Ascomycota; Sordariomycetes; Hypocreales; Ophiocordycipitaceae.